UAGAGUUUGAUCAUGGCUCAGAGUGAACGCUGGCGGCAUGCCUAACACAUGCAAGUCGAACGGUAACAGGCCCGCAAGGGUGCUGACGAGUGGCGGACGGGUGAGGAAUACAUCGGAAUUUGCCCAGUCGUGGGGGAUAACGUAGGGAAACUUACGCUAAUACCGCAUACGACCUAACGGUGAAAGCGGGGGAUCGCAAGACCUCGCGCGGAUGGAUAAGCCGAUGUCGGAUUAGCUAGUUGGCGGGGUAAAGGCCCACCAAGGCGACGAUCCGUAGCUGGUCUGAGAGGAUGAUCAGCCACACUGGGACUGAGACACGGCCCAGACUCCUACGGGAGGCAGCAGUGGGGAAUAUUGCACAAUGGGCGGAAGCCUGAUGCAGCGACGCCGCGUGAGGGAUGAAGGCCUUCGGGUUGUAAACCUCUUUCAGCAGGGAAGAAGCGCAAGUGACGGUACCUGCAGAAGAAGCACCGGCUAACUACGUGCCAGCAGCCGCGGUAAAUCGCC
Molecule: ribosomal RNA, 507 nt
Filed under: uncultured bacterium
Lineage: Bacteria
Description: bacterial SSU rRNA
Rfam family: Bacterial small subunit ribosomal RNA
Source: RNAcentral